This 1579-nucleotide small RNA is filed under the name Pongo abelii (Sumatran orangutan). Its description in RNAcentral is "retained intron". Lineage: Eukaryota; Metazoa; Chordata; Mammalia; Primates; Hominidae. The record is from RNAcentral.
CAGACAGACCGAGGGGCGGAUGCAGCCUACCUCCUGGGCAGGGAGCUGCGGUCUGAGGCCCCUGCCCAGCUGGAAACCACAGGGAGGGGAAGGGAGGGGAGGGGAGGAGAGGAGAGGAGAGGAACCGUCAUGGGGCCUUGGAGUCGAGUCAGGGUUGCCAAAUGCCAGAUGCUGGUCACCUGCUUCUUUAUCUUGGUAACAGCUGCUGGGCCUCUCUGAGGCCACCAUAGUGACUCUUACCUACUUCGGGGCCCACUUUGCUGUCAUCCGCCAAGCGUCCCUGGAGAAGAACCCAUCCCAGGCUAUGCACCAAUGGGCCUUCUCUGCGGGGUUGAGCCUGGUGGGCCUCCUGACUCUGGGAGCUGUGCUGAGCGCUGCAGCCACCGUGAGGGAGGCCCAGGGCCUCAUGGCGGGGGGCUUCCUGUGCUUCUCCCUGGCGUUCUGCGCACAGGUGCAGGUGGUGUUCUGGAGACUCCACAGCCCCACCCAGGUGGAGGAUGCCAUGCUGGACACCUACGACCUGGUAUAUGAGCAGGCGAUGAAAGGCACAUCCCACGUCUGGCGGCAGGAGCUGGCGGCCAUCCAGGACGUGUUUCUGUGCUGUGGGAAGAGGUCUCCUUUCAGCCGUCUGGGGAACACAGAGGCUGACCUGUGUCAGGGAGAGGAGACGGCAAGAGAGGACUGCCUUCAGGGCAUCCGGAGCUUCCUGAGGACAUACCAGCAGGUCACCUCCAGCCUGACCAGCAUCGGCCUGGCCCUCACGGUACCCUCUCGCCUCCCUCACCGCCCCUUCCCACCUCCUACCCCUCAGCGUGCCCAGCCCCUGACUCAGAUGGAAGGGUGACCUGGGACAGGAUUUCUGGUCUUGGGCCUCACUGGCUGCCAACCUCAGGGAGCUGGUCUGGUGUGACAGUGCCUGCCUCCUACAGCUGGGCCGCCCCCUUACACUGCAGAGUCCUGAUGCUUCCUGGGGAUGGGCGCCCCCACCCAGGAGUAGGGGGGCAGCCGCGGGUGUCUCCCUCCCAGGUGUCCGCCUUGCUCCUCAGCUCCUUCCUGUGGUUUGCCAUCCGCUCUGGCUGCUGCUUGGACCGCAAGGGCAAAUACACCCUGGCCCCACGCAUGUGGCCACCAGCCCCAGGAGCCCAGCCUCUUCAGACGCUCCCAGGGUGGACCCGCACAUUGUCUCCGCUCCGAAGCAGAUGCUAUUGGUCCAAGAGGAUGCUCGGGUAGUCUUCGGUGGCUGCAGGAGAGCGAUGCUGCGCCUCUGCCCCUCUCCUGCCACCUGCCUGCCCACAGAGCUCUCCAGGGGAGAAGUCCCGGUGGGCUCAGCGGGUGCCCUGCGCGGGGUCUCUCAGACUGACGUCAGGCCUUGGUGGGCUGUACUCUCAUCUGGAAGCUCCGCGGAAGCAUCUGCCUCCAGGACCAUUCAGGCUGUUGACAAGUCAACUCCUCAUGGCUGUAGGACUGAUGUUCCCAUAGUCCUUGUCCCUGCUCCUGUGGCCCCUCCACCUUCAAACCAGCGAUGGUGCAUUGAGCAAAUCGUGGUCAAAUAUACAUCACAUAAAAUUUACCAUCUUAA